Long non-coding RNA from Folsomia candida, 311 nucleotides. RefSeq lists it as uncharacterized. The record is from RefSeq and is a predicted model, not a curated record. NCBI's taxonomy places the organism in Eukaryota, Metazoa, Arthropoda, Collembola, Entomobryomorpha, Isotomidae. The transcript is spliced from 2 exons.
GGAACAUGAAAACCUGACCUUUACCUUCUUUCUUCCACCCACCCUCUGGGGCCUGAAUGGUGCAAUCAAGUGAUCAAUCACAGGUGUGUUUGCAAUUUCGAUUGAAACUAACACAUUUUGAGGUUCAUAUCUCUACAGAUUGAAGAUGCUUACAAGAUGAGUAUUCUUCUCUUGGUCCACUCGUACAAAAUACGCUGUUAAUAGUAAACACUUGAAACCACUGAUAAAUAAACCAAGAUCAAACACAACUUUCCCAUCGAAUUCUUAUGAGUCAGCUAACCGCACAAUUAUACUGAAUGUGCUUGAAAAAA